GACGAACGCUGGCGGCGUGCCUAAUACAUGCAAGUAGAACGCUGAAGAGAGGAGCUUGCUCUUCUUGGAUGAGUUGCGAACGGGUGAGUAACGCGUAGGUAACCUGCCUUGUAGCGGGGGAUAACUAUUGGAAACGAUAGCUAAUACCGCAUAACAAUGGAUGACACAUGUCAUUUAUUUGAAAGGGGCAAUUGCUCCACUACAAGAUGGACCUGCGUUGUAUUAGCUAGUAGGUGAGGUAAUGGCUCACCUAGGCGACGAUACAUAGCCGACCUGAGAGGGUGAUCGGCCACACUGGGACUGAGACACGGCCCAGACUCCUACGGGAGGCAGCAGUAGGGAAUCUUCGGCAAUGGGGGCAACCCUGACCAAGCAACGCCGCGUGAGUGAAGAAGGUUUUCGGAUCGUAAAGUUCUGUUGUAAGUCAAGAACGGGUGUGAGAGUGGAAAGUUCACACUGUGACGGUAGCUUACCAGAAAGGGACGGCUAACUACGUG
This 497-nucleotide ribosomal RNA is filed under the name uncultured bacterium. Its description in RNAcentral is "partial 16S ribosomal RNA". It matches the Rfam family "Bacterial small subunit ribosomal RNA", at positions 28 to 507 of the family's 1533-position model. The record is from RNAcentral.